This 1451-nucleotide ribosomal RNA is filed under the name uncultured Bordetella sp. RNAcentral describes it as "partial 16S-23S ribosomal RNA intergenic spacer". It matches the Rfam family "Bacterial small subunit ribosomal RNA". Lineage: Bacteria; Pseudomonadati; Pseudomonadota; Betaproteobacteria; Burkholderiales; Alcaligenaceae. The record is from RNAcentral.
GUUCGGUCAAACCAGGUGGACGCUAGCGGGAUGCCUUACACAGCCACAGUCGAACGGCAGCACGGACUUCGGUCUGGUGGCGAGUGGCGAACAGGUGAGUAAUGUAUCGAACGUGCCCCGAUACAGCGAGGGAUAACUGCACGAAAGCGUAGCUAAUACACAUGCGCCUGCGGGGAAAGCAGGGGAUCGCAAGACCUUGCACUAUUGGAGCAACCGAUAUCGGAUUAGCUAGUUGGUGGGGUAACGGCUCACCAAGGCGACGAUCCGGACAACUGGUUGAAGGACGACCAAUACACUGGACUGAGACACGACCCAGACUCCUACGAGAGAGGCAGCAGUGGGGAAUUUUGGACAAUGGGGGAAACCGGUCCAGCCAUCCACGUGUGCGAUGAAGGCGCUAAGUUUAUAAAGCGCACGGCAGAAAGAAACGUCGUGGGUUAAUACCCGAUGACAGUACCUGCGGGAAUAGCACAGCUAACUGCAUGCUGGCAAUGCGGUAAUACGUAGGGUACGGCGUUAAUCGAAGGUCUGGGCAUAAAGCGUGCGCAGGCGGUUGAAAGAAAAGAUGGCAAAUCUGAAAUAACUGGAACUGCAUUUUUAACUACCGGGCUAGAGUGUGUCAGAGGAGGUGGAAUUUCGCGUGUAGUGAAAUGCGUAGAUAUGCGGAGGAACACCGAUAGCGAAAACAGCCUGCAAGGGACAACACUGACGCUCCAUGCACGAAAGCGUGGGAGCAAACAGGAUUAGAUACCUGGUAGUCCACGCCCUAAACGAUGUCAACUGGCAUUUGGGGCGCUGGGCGCCAGUGUUUCAGCUAACGCGUGAAGUUGACCGCCUGGGGGAAUACGGUCGCAAGAUUAAAAACUCAAGGAAUUGACGGGGACCGCACAGCAGUGGAUGAUGUGGAUUAAUUCGAUGCAACGCGAAAAACCUUACCUACCUUAAUAUCUGGAAUGCCGAAGGGUGGCAGUGCUCGCAAGAGAACCGGAACACAGGUGCUGCAUGGCUGUCGUCAGCUCAUGUCUGUGAGAUGUUGGGUUAAGUCCCGCAACGAGCGCAACCCUUGUCGUGGAUUGCACGAAGGGCACUCUAAUGAGACUGCCGGUGACAAACCGGAGGAAGGUGGGGAUGACGUCAAGUCCUCGCCAACCCUUAUGGGUAGGGCUUCACACGUCAUACAAUGGUCGGGACAGAGGGUCGCCAACCCGCGAGGGGAGCCAAUCCCAGAAACCCGUCGAGUCCAGAUCGCAGUCUACGGCUCGGCUGCGUGAAGUCAGAAUCCUUCAGUAAUCGCGGAUCAGCAUGUCGCGGUGAAUACGAUCCCGGGUCUUGUACACACCGCCCGUCACACCAUGGGAGUGGGUUUUACCAGAAGUAGUUAGCCUAAUAACCGCAAGGGGCGAUUGCCACGGUAAGUUCAUAGGCUGGGGUGAAGUCGUAACUAAGGUGUU